RNAcentral lists this ribosomal RNA (497 nucleotides) under uncultured bacterium. Its description in RNAcentral is "partial 16S ribosomal RNA". It matches the Rfam family "Bacterial small subunit ribosomal RNA", at positions 28 to 507 of the family's 1533-position model. The record is from RNAcentral.
GAUGAACGCUGGCUGCGUGCCUAAUACAUGCAAGUCGAGCGAACGGACGAGAAGCUUGCUUUUCUUAUUUUAGCGGCGGACGGGUGAGUAACACUUGGAUAACCUACCUAUAAGACUGGGAUAACUUCGGGAAACCGGAGCUAAUACCGGAUAAUAUUUUGAACCGCAUGGUUCAAAAGUGAAAGACGGUCUUGCUGUCACUUAUAGAUGGAUCCGCGCUGCAUUAGCUAGUUGGUAAGGUAACGGCUUACCAAGGCAACGAUGCAUAGCCGACCUGAGAGGGUGAUCGGCCACACUGGAACUGAGACACGGUCCAGACUCCUACGGGAGGCAGCAGUAGGGAAUCUUCCGCAAUGGGCGAAAGCCUGACGGAGCAAAGCCGCGUGAGUGAUGAAGGUCUUCGGAUAGUAAAACUCUGUUAUUAGGGAAGAACAUAUGUGUAAGUAACUGUGCACAUCUUGAAGGUACCUAAUCAGAAAGCCACGGCUAACUACGUG